UACUUAAUGUGAUUAUCUUAGAAC
RNAcentral lists this non-coding RNA (24 nucleotides) under Cricetulus griseus (Chinese hamster). Lineage: Eukaryota; Metazoa; Chordata; Mammalia; Rodentia; Cricetidae. The record is from RNAcentral.